RNAcentral lists this transfer RNA (71 nucleotides) under Canis lupus familiaris (dog). It matches the Rfam family "tRNA". Rfam says of the family: Transfer RNA (tRNA) molecules are approximately 80 nucleotides in length. Their secondary structure includes four short double-helical elements and three loops (D, anti-codon, and T loops). The record is from Rfam by way of RNAcentral. RNAcentral also lists the same sequence under 1 other name. Lineage: Eukaryota; Metazoa; Chordata; Mammalia; Carnivora; Canidae.
GCCUGAGUGGCUCAGUGUUUAAGCAUCAGGUCGUGAUCCUGGGGUCCUGGGAUCGAGUCCCACAUCAGGCU